Long non-coding RNA from Leopardus geoffroyi (Geoffroy's cat), 962 nucleotides. RefSeq lists it as uncharacterized. Lineage: Eukaryota; Metazoa; Chordata; Mammalia; Carnivora; Felidae. The transcript is spliced from 3 exons. The record is from RefSeq and is a predicted model, not a curated record.
UAUAUCAGCCGCUCUCUCCGCCAAUCCCGCCUCUUUGCCUUAUCUCGGCUCGUAAAUGAUCUGCAUCGAGAUGCAGUCUCUUGAGGGUCACCGCGGGACCAAGUUUCGCCGAGGAAAAGAAGGGGGGGGUGCUCUAGCCCUCGAAGGGAUCUCCCCGGCUGCGCGCUGCAGGUGGAAAGCUGCGCACUGAGCAGCUCCGAGGACCGCUCAGCACCCCCAGGGAAUAAAUAAGUGGGGGGAACAGACUGCGCACAGGCUGAGAGAAUCUCAUUCUCCAGGUUCCAACUGCAGAGUGCUUUCCAGAGGAUCGGGAGAAAGUCCCUUGGGAACAAAGACGGGGUCCCCGUGGGGUGCGCUGUCACCGAAACCGGCGGAGCCGCUUUCUCAAGUUUGUGGCUGCUCGGUUGCCGGGCGGGCGAAGGAGGGGUGCUCGCGCUCGCCCCUCGCUGAGCAACCUGAGCGCCCCGGCGGGAGCCGCUCCAACGCCGCCGCCCUGCCCUGGCCCCCUCCCGGCCGCGGUCCCCUCUGUGCGCUCACGGACUCGACCCCUGCCACUGCCGGAAAAGGAAGAGUGAAGUCAAAGGAAUUUACACUUCCAAAGAAUUUUUUAGGAACUUUGGAUGCAAAGAAAAAGAGCAGCUUCAUAUGGUACAAUCUCCCACCAUGCUUGGGAUGAGAAGGGAUGUCAAAACCCUGCAAUAGAACACAGCUACUCCAGAAAGCAAGGGAUCAUUGACUACUCAUUGAAGCUACAUGUCAACAAGUGAUGAUUGCAUUUGUUUCAAGAAGAUUACUGGAAUUUUGUCCAGAAUGGUUUCAGUGCCAGUCCAACACAAUGGAAAGGUAAGUUUGGGACUAUGGCAACCCACAAUAAUUAUAGAGACUCAUUUGGGGCAGUUCCGUUUAUAGGAAGACAGAUUGAAGUCUCAAACUACUAAAUUCAAACAAAUGAAAAUAUGCUC